UUUAGGAUUUAGGAUUUGGUUAGGAUUUUAUUUAGGGUUUAGGAUUUAGUUAGGAUUUGAUUUAGGUUUAGGAUUUGGAUUAGAAUUUGGUUUAGGGUUUAGGAUUUAGAUUAGGAUUUGGUUUAGGAUUUAGGAUUUGGUUUAGGAUUGAGGAUUUGGAUUAGGAUUUAGAAUUUGGAUUAGGAUUUGGUUUAGGAUUUAGAAUUUGGAUUAGGAUUUGGUUUAGGAUUUAGAAUUUGGAUUAGGAUUUGGUUAGGGUUUGAUUUAGGAUUUAGAGUUUGAUUUAGGGGUUGGUUUGAGUUUGGUUUAAGGUUAGUUUAGGAUUUGAUUUAGGAUUUAAGAUUUUAUUAGGAUUAAAGAUUCAAUUAAUUUUGGCCUAAAGUUUGAAUGAAGUUCAAUAGGAUUUUAACUAAAAUUAAAUUAAGAUUGAAUUAAGAUGUAUUUGAAUGAUAUUUGUGAUCUUUUUAAUAUUUCUUUAAGAAUUCUUAUUAUUUGUUUGAGUUUUUUUUGAAUUUUUUUUUAAUUUGAUUAAGCUUGCUUAACAUUAUUAUGGUUUAAUUAGAGCAUUAUUAAUAUUCUAUUAGAA
Molecule: long non-coding RNA, 586 nt
Filed under: Physcomitrium patens
Lineage: Eukaryota; Viridiplantae; Streptophyta; Bryopsida; Funariales; Funariaceae
Description: long non-coding RNA (PPAT_LNC000890)
Source: RNAcentral